Spodoptera litura is the source of this 427-nucleotide long non-coding RNA. RefSeq lists it as uncharacterized. Lineage: Eukaryota; Metazoa; Arthropoda; Insecta; Lepidoptera; Noctuidae. The record is from RefSeq and is a predicted model, not a curated record.
AUUUCUUUGAGUCGAACGCACAAGUCUCCUGAAAUGUAUAAUCUGUUAAAUAUUAUUUUAAUGUUUCUGUUCAUCGUCGCUGACUGUAAUGCAGGCUGGGUUCCAGGAGGCCUGGAUCCACGAUGACUCAAACGGAAAGAACAUGCUCCCGGUGGAUUGACCUGCUUGAUGGAAAUGGAAAGUUGGUAUUACGACAUGGUGAAAAAUGACUGCAUUUAUACCACGGGCGCUAGUUGCGGCGGUACUGAGAAUUUUUACACACAACAAGAGUGCGCAAUUGCUUGCAUCCGCCCAAACUCUAUGAACUUUUAACGAGAACGACUCAGAUAAGAAGUAGCAUAACUCGCAACAUCUCCGGAGACCAUUUUAACGUUAUCCGAUAUUGAAAUGAAACGUUUCGUUUGAAAUUAUAAAAAAGUGAAAAUAA